GUGAUUUUCUCAGGCUCCCUUCUGACCAAUUCAUGGAACAACAGUAAUCAAUCACAAUUGUUUUAUAGAAUUGAGUUGCUGGUACCAUGUCACAACAAACUGAUUAAACUCUCCCAGAAGAAAUCAUCAACUUUAUUGGGACUAAUGGUAUCUAAGAUCGAAAAGUAAAGCUCAAGUGUGGAGCUCUCACAUCCCUGAUAUUCUAAAAAAAAUGGCUAACAGUUUACUCUCAAAUCAAACUAUAAACUUCAUAUUUAAAAUAACAGAAGCAUUUGAACAAGGAAGACAAAGAAUUGUGAUGGUUGCUUUUAUGUGUCUACUUGACUGGGAUACAAGAUCGAAAGGAGGCUGGCUAUCAAUAUCCUCAUCACUGAGAACUGUUGUUGAUUAUGUACCUACUUAUGUGAAAAUCAAAUCCAGGUGUUGGAGCCUGUGACACAUAAGGUACAAGCUUGAGCUAAGGAAGUGUCUACUUGAAUUGGGCAUACGUUCAUUCUUACUGAAUAACCAGUUAUGGUUUCCUGUGUGAGAAAAAUUGCCGGGAAGGAUAUUUCAGGAAGUGUGUGUUUUGGGUCCUUAAAUAGUAGAAGUAAGGAUAAAAAGGAUGAAUGGCCCAUUUUAGUUAAAAGUAUCUUCCACGCACAGUAUUUCUCCUUUGAAUACACAAUAUAUAUGGUUCAUAAUUGUUUUGCUUUGUUCUGAGACCAUUAAUAUUAGUGUAAAACAAAUAGAGGGGAAGGAUUACUGUUGUCUAUCAUUACCUAUAAAACUAAAUGUGUAUUUUCUGGUGUUUACAUUAUAUACUUGUUUACAACUUUUUAUUUUUCAUACUGUUAAUUGUGCACAAGGAAACACAGAGCUCUUCGCCCCAGAUCAUGCUGGUUUUGUUUAAUUUAUAUACUUAAUAAACUUUAGAGAAAGACAGUAGUUUUGGCA
RNAcentral lists this long non-coding RNA (936 nucleotides) under Felis catus (domestic cat). RNAcentral describes it as "lncRNA (ENSFCAG00000047394.1)". The record is from RNAcentral. Lineage: Eukaryota; Metazoa; Chordata; Mammalia; Carnivora; Felidae.